GUUGGGGGAGUUUCAGAGUCAUUUUGAUGCUAUAAAAAGACCUACCAUCAGGGAGUAUCACAUCCAGCAUACUACAAUAAUUGUUUUGACUACUUUUUGUGAGUUAACAAAAUAUCAAAUAACAAUGAAGGUUCAAACAGUCAUUUUCAUUGCUCUUUUCGUGUCUGCACUAUUUGUCACUGCAAAAGGUGUAAACAGCAGUGAAGAACAACUUAAGCCAAUGGAAGCUUCAAAACAAGAUAAUAAUCCACAAUUUACUAGUCCUCCUGGAGGAAGGCGCAGAGGAGAACAACAACAAAGACAGCCACAUGGAAAGAAAUAGCAUCACUGCAGCCACUGAAGGUCUGUCAAUCAAAACUCAUGAGCUGGUUACUUUUACAAAUAUCCUGCCAGCGAGCAAUCAUAAAGCUUGGAGAUGUUCAUUAUUGCAGUUAAAUUUGAAAAAGUAAUAAAAUAUUUGCUAGCAAGCAA
Long non-coding RNA from Protopterus annectens (West African lungfish), 471 nucleotides. RefSeq lists it as uncharacterized. The transcript has 3 exons. The record is from RefSeq and is a predicted model, not a curated record. Lineage: Eukaryota; Metazoa; Chordata; Ceratodontiformes; Protopteridae.